GAGAAAAAAGCAUAUAUGCGGUUGACUUGAAAUCAACAGAUGGUGGUAUAAAGUGCAGCCUUUUCUC
Molecule: transfer RNA, 67 nt
Filed under: Fowlea piscator (Checkered keelback)
Lineage: Eukaryota; Metazoa; Chordata; Lepidosauria; Squamata; Natricidae
Description: tRNA-Ser
Source: RNAcentral